AACCGGGUAACGUCUCGGUGCCGAUAAUAGCGGUCAACCCUAUUUACCGUUAUUAAUCCCUAUGGGGAGCCCUAUCGUCGGAAGGUAAAUGUCUCAAAAUUUUUAUAUAGGCGGUUGCGUCUCAUCUACGUGAAAGUUUUUUGUAUGGAAUGUUUGACCAAACUACAUAAUAUAGAGGGAGAUAUGAGCGUUUUCGUGUGAUAAGUGACGAUGGAUUAGAGUUAACCGUUUCGAUCGAGCCCUUAACGUUGUCGGAUCCAGUUGAAUUUUUUACCAUAGACAUCUUUCGUCAUAAUGAUCAUAUCUGACGGUCGAAUUUUGGUUUGUGAAUUUUAGUCAUCGGAAUCAUAACGUGUCUACUAAUGUUGUAUAACGUGUUUAGUAGGUUAUACAACUUUGUGAACCAACUCUACAUAGAAAGCAAAAUUAUCAAAAAUCUCGUAAAAUAAAAUGUGUUCAGAAUGGUGAAAUACGGCUAUGUUUCAAAAAUCACGUAAAUCGGGUAACGUCUCGGUGCCGAUAAUAGCGGUCAACCCUAUUUACCAUUAUUAUUCCCUAUGGGGAGCCUUAUCGUCGGAAGGUAAAUGUCUCAAAAUUUUUAUAUAGGCGGUUGCGUCUCAUCUACGUGAAAGUUUUUUGUGUGGAAGGUUUGACCAAACUACGUAAUAUAGAGUAUAGAGGGAGAUAUGUGUUGUGAUAUCGGUCAAUUAUGUAUGUCAAGGAACCCCAAAAGAACACAACAAACCAAGAGAAACAACCAUAGAGAUAAGACACAAAGAACACAGAUUUAAGGUGGUUCAGCAAAACCUUUGCCUACAUCCACCGGCAGAAAACACUUCCACUAUAUUAAUAAUGGGUACACCAAAAAGAAUAAGAAAACAAGGACUCUCUCACUUCUCUUCAUAUAUCUCUCUCCUCUCUGCCCUCUCUCACCCUCUAACCGAUAGGAGUUUUACCGGAGGUGGAUGGUAAGAAGUCAGAAAAUCAGAAAAAGUUACUGUUUCGCCUGCCGGAUUUUCUUCUUGGCCUAGCUCCGCUGUGAAGCCACCGGAGACCGCCACACUUGUCUCAAAAGCUUCGCCGUCAUCUCUACUUCAUUGCUGGACAGGUGGUGCAUCGAGUGGCGUCGCCAUGAGGGAUAAAUCGAGCUCCAAAACUCCGCCGGUUCGGAUUCGGUGUCGAUCGAAUUAAGCUAACAGGCCGCGAAACUUUUUCGUCGGCUAAAAUGUUUGUCCUGGUAGUGAAGGUCGUUCGUCCUUCCCAAAAAAAAAUGUUUAGUUAUAUUAUUAUCAAAGAAUUGUAGUUGGGAAGCAUGUAGCAUGCGCAUGCCUAAUAGACAGAGUACGUACCCCACGCAAUAGGUACAUGAAGAAAUUCUCACAUGCGACGGUCGUACCACAUCACAAAUGCAAAUAAUCAUAGAGUAACACGCGUCCUUGUUUUCUUUUUUAUUUUUUUUAUUUUUUAUUUUUUUUAUACCUCAGCUCUACUGAAAAGAGAGGACAAAACAAAUCAGAAUCUCUCUGAUCAAAACCCAGGUUCUC
RNAcentral lists this long non-coding RNA (1544 nucleotides) under Fragaria vesca (wild strawberry). Its description in RNAcentral is "long non-coding RNA (FVES_LNC001877)". Lineage: Eukaryota; Viridiplantae; Streptophyta; Magnoliopsida; Rosales; Rosaceae. The record is from RNAcentral.